This 250-nucleotide ribosomal RNA is filed under the name uncultured bacterium. Its description in RNAcentral is "partial 16S ribosomal RNA". It matches the Rfam family "Bacterial small subunit ribosomal RNA", at positions 524 to 773 of the family's 1533-position model. The record is from RNAcentral.
UACGGAGGAUGCAAGCGUUAUCCGGAUUUAUUGGGUUUAAAGGGUUCGUAGGCGGGGACGUAAGUCAGUGGUGAAAGCCUGCAGCUUAACUGUAGAAUUGCCAUUGAAACUACAUCUCUUGAAUAUAUAUGAAGUAGGCGGAAUGUGUCAUGUAGCGGUGAAAUGCACAGAUAUGACACAGAACACCGAUAGCGAAGGCAGCUUACUAAUGUAUUAUUGACGCUGAUGAACGAAAGCGUGGGGAGCGAAC